Molecule: small nuclear RNA, 185 nt
Filed under: Chlamydotis macqueenii (Macqueen's bustard)
Lineage: Eukaryota; Metazoa; Chordata; Aves; Otidiformes; Otididae
Description: Chlamydotis undulata macqueenii U2 spliceosomal RNA
Rfam family: U2 spliceosomal RNA
About the family: U2 is a small nuclear RNA (snRNA) component of the spliceosome (involved in pre-mRNA splicing).
Source: Rfam by way of RNAcentral
AUCUCUAAUCUCUGAUCUUUGUCUAAGGUGAAGUUUAACAUCUGUUCUUAUCGGUUAAAUAUCUUUUACAUCCUUGACUUGAUGAUAUCAUAUUAAACAGAUUUUUGGGUCCAAAAAAUGGGUUAGGACUCUUUCUAUGUGCAUUUUCCUGUUAUUGCAGUGUCUCCAGAAGCGGCACACCAAGG